RNAcentral lists this ribosomal RNA (100 nucleotides) under Desmodesmus sp. EH21. RNAcentral describes it as "partial 5.8S ribosomal RNA". It matches the Rfam family "5.8S ribosomal RNA", at positions 65 to 154 of the family's 154-position model. Rfam says of the family: 5.8S ribosomal RNA (5.8S rRNA) is a component of the large subunit of the eukaryotic ribosome. It is transcribed by RNA polymerase I as part of the 45S precursor that also contains 18S and 28S rRNA. Functionally, it is thought that 5.8S rRNA may be involved in ribosome translocation. Lineage: Eukaryota; Viridiplantae; Chlorophyta; Chlorophyceae; Sphaeropleales; Scenedesmaceae. The record is from RNAcentral.
GUGUGAAUUGCAGAAUUCCGUGAACCAUCGAAUCUUUGAACGCAUAUUGCGCUCGACCCCUCGGGGAAGAGCAUGUCUGCCUCAGCGUCGGUUUACACCC